UAUUGACCAAACUACGGUCGCGCACGGCUUUUAUGCCAAUACAAAUGUGGUUUUUAUUGAGUUGAAAAUCCAAUUUCAUACACAAAACCUUCGGCGUAGGUACGUAUAUUGCAGUGUUGUUUUUAGCGUUUUACAUCAUCAUCGUAUUGAGUUUUUCGUCGGCUGUUAUUCGUUGCGCGGUGCCUUCGCCGCGGUGGAGGCGUGUUAUGGUUUAAAUAAAAACGUAUUUACGUGUUAAAUCUGGGUCGAGACCCAUUGAACUGUAAACAUCUAAAAAGCUAAUGAUCCCUGAACAGACCGAGUCCGCUGUAUAUAAUUUUAUUUAGAUUAAAUCGCGUUCGUUUAAAAAAAAUGUUUAAACCAUUUAUACAAAAUUUGAAAGAAACAAAAAAAAAAAAAAAAACGCGCAAUGAUCACUGCACGGGAUCGCUAAAGCGUGUAACGAUUCGCUAUCCUAAUGCCGGACUGUUUAAAGUUUAAUUAAACCAUUUCAGAUCUAAUAUUCAUUAAAGUGGUUCUCUAAAUUGGAGCUAUUCAAUUCACUAAAUUAAAGUAAAGGCCCGGUUCAUUAGAAAUUUAAACAUAGGUUUAUCCACGGACCUGGUAUUAUAAAAGCUUUACGGGUUUAUCACAAAUUUAUACGUUUCGCAUGACGAUUCAACAAUCGAAUGUUCGAUAUACGUAUUUGCGUAUUUGGAAUUUGUUAAUUGUAAAUUAUUUUCAAAUAAAACUACGAUUAUUAAUACGCGCGUUAUCGUUUUUUCCCGGCGGUUAUUCUUGUUCCGUGACCGAAUCCCAAUGACCCUCUGAAAUCAACGAGUAGCGCGAUAAAUUCUGGCAUUCUAUACAUUAAAUGAUAGGUUUUACGUAACCCGGUAUGAAAAAAAAAAAACAUUGUGUAGUUGAGAACAUACGGGUGUAGCCGUGUUGCGUUUUGUAUAAUAGGUGUAAUAUGCGGCCAACGGUUAUAACGGAAAUCACUCGAAUUUUUUUUUUAAAUAUUCCAGUUUGGUAAUUUUCUCGUUAAAGUCAAUCGUUUAAAUAUAGAGGUACCUUAUUAUAGCAUAAAUUAAAAGCGUGCUGGAACGCUCGUGUCGCGUGAAACCGUAUAAUUUUGUAAAAAAAAAAAAAAAUGAAACGCGGGCGCCGGACACACGUCAUUUGUAUACGCGCGUUUUUAGAUAAAAAUAAUAAAAAAAAAAAAAUGUAUAUAAUAACGAUAAAGUUUAAUAUCAGGUAUACUGCGUCCGGUAAAGUAUACACAAUAUUACGGUAGUGAUUAAAUUACGGAG
Molecule: non-coding RNA, 1292 nt
Organism: Cinara cedri
Lineage: Eukaryota; Metazoa; Arthropoda; Insecta; Hemiptera; Aphididae
Source: the annotation of a GenBank genome assembly